This is a long non-coding RNA of Monodelphis domestica (gray short-tailed opossum), 3537 nucleotides long. RefSeq lists it as uncharacterized. Lineage: Eukaryota; Metazoa; Chordata; Mammalia; Didelphimorphia; Didelphidae. The record is from RefSeq and is a predicted model, not a curated record.
GAAGUCAGCAUCGAUUAUCCAGUGAUGGGAGGGGCCAGCCUGGGACUCCCCAGCACAGACCCCUGGGAAUGAGCGCUCGGCUCCUGACCACAUACACGGCUCUAUUAUCUACAGCUUCGUGCCCGGUGCUGCCUGGGGCACUGAGGCGGGGCGGGAUGUCUCCCAGGCUGGGUCCCAGGAAGCCGGGGCAUCGCCUGCCGCUCUCGUCCACACUGGCGAUGGCUGGGAGCUGCUGGGCACGUUUGGAGGGGAGAAGAGAACCCUGGGCCACGGGAAGACCACGGUCAAGGCUUUGCAGGGAUGUCGGGCAAAGGAGGGAUUCGCCUCAUUCUGUUCGGCUCAGACUCGCUCCGAAUUCUCCCCACCACGGAAAAGGGUGGUCGGUGAGCCCAAAGCAAACCUCGGGGAACACGGGCUUCGCUCUAGAGCCGGGCCGGAGGCAGCUCGAAGGGUUUAAGAGCACGAGAGGGGUCGAGGCUCUCUUCUGGCCCAGACGGAGUGCAGACGGAGCACUCUAGGUGAAUCCCGGGGAAGAGAAAAGGGCUUUUCCGGGAACUCCAAGGGCCCAAGCGGCAUAGGGCUGCCUCCCCUCCGCUUUCUGGCCUUAGGCCGGAAGAAGGUUCAGACCGACUGGACGGAGGGCCAGUCCCCACCAAGACGGCAGGCUCGGAGAGCCAGGGACCCAGCUUCCUGGAAAGUCUCAAAAUGGCGGCCAGCAAGGACCCCUCCCCCCGGAAGUCAUGGAGGCCCACCCAGCCCUUUCCUCAUUUGGGGAGCAAGGACGCAAGGCAGACGCUGCGGCUCCUACCCUUCUCUUUAUCCGUUUGUCAGACUGGCCCGGGGCCUCGAAGGACGGAGCCAUUUAUAAUGUCAAAUCCAGAGGAAUACUGAGAGAGCUUCCAAGAAUGUAUUUCACUUCUGCCAGCUUCGGGAGGGGGGAGGGGAGAGCGGGCGGGGAGCCGCGAUGGAGGGGCUCGCCGGCCAGUUUCCAUUUUGGUUUUGCCAAAGGAAACAUCAUAAACAUUCCCCAAAGAGCUGGUGGAACCCGAACACUUUCUACUGCGAGGAGGAGCCGGGCGGAUGGACGACAAACUCAUCAUCUCUCUUCUGUUAUGAUUCACACAGGAAGCCUUUCCCCGAGAAAGUCCACACCUGAGCUUGUUCCCCGGCGGAGCCUGGACCGAUCGCUCCGCAAACCCCCAAACCCUACAUAAACGGCAGCCCCUGAGAGGGGGUGGCGGGGGGAGGCAGAGCCGCCCCCCAGGGAGAUCCGAGUUGGGGUCACUUACUGGGUUUGUGUCCCGGGGCAAGUGGAGUGACCCUCCGGGGCCACGCAGGAGGGCAGAGGUGGGCCUGCACCCCCUGCUCGGGCGAGCCCUGCCCUCACCUAAGAGCACCUACCACGGGCCGGCCAGCCAGGCAGGGAGAAAUGGGGCGGAGCCCAGGCUGGAAGCCCGCUGCCUACCAGGAACAUCCCCAAUGCCUGCUGGGGCUGCCUAUUCCCCCUCAGGGGUCCUCUUCAGGGCGGGGCUCACAGGCCGAGGCUCCCUCUUGUGUUCACCAGAACUGGAGGUGGCACAGCGCCAGGCACCGGAGGGGGCCUUCAUGAAUGGCUACUCGUGUGGAUGGAUCCCGGAGAGCGCAGGUAGGUAGAGACCUCCCAGGGCUCAUCCAGCUCUAACCGGGGGACCCGGAAUCUCCCGGUUGGAAGGAAUCUCUGGGGCUAAGGAAUGGGGAGAGACAGACAGACAGAGAGACAGACGGAGAGGCAGACGUGCAGACAGACACACAGACAGUCAGUACAGGCACCCGGCCCUUCCCAGGAGAAGAUUCCGAGGAGGCUGCUUGCGGGGCGGCCCUGUGGCUGGGAGGAGUCGGAGAGGGGCCGAUGCUGAAGGGAGGCUUGGGGAGGGUGUCCGUCAGCCCGUCCGGAGAUGCCAUCUGGGCUGCUUUGGGGCAUCCAUGCCAGGGAGACAAAAAGACAGAUCGGGAAGCCACAAAAAUAAACCUGACGGUUUCCUUGGAAGACGUUUGGCUCCUGAUGCAUCUCUGGUGAACCAUGUUUGAAUCCAGUUUUUGUUUUUUUUAACCCUCAUCUUCCCUCUUGGAGUCAAUACUGUGUAAUGGCUCCAAGGCAGAAGAGCAGGAAGAGCUGGGCAAUGGGGGUCAAGUGACUUGCCCAGGGUCACACAGCUGGGACGUAUCUGAGGUCAAAUUUGAACCCAGGACCGCCUAUCUCUAGGUCUGGUUCUCCAUCCACUGAGUUGCCCCCUUGAAUUCAGUUUUUGACGUUUGCUACCGGUCUGACUCCUGAUAAGUCAUGUAACCCCUCUGCCUCAGUUUCCUCAUCUGCAAAAUGGGAUGACAGCAGCACCUACUCCCAGACUUGGGGUGAGGCUGAGACACUAUGGGACGAGCACGAUGCUAAAUUGAAUGAAAGCGGUUCAGAACACAAAGAUGGAGCUUCUGUUGUUGGGGGAGGGGAAGCGAUGGCCAAGCAUGGGGCUGUUAGGGAGCUCGGAGGCCCCGAGGCCACCCCACACCUGAGCAAGGUCCUCGCAGCAGCAGAAGCAGAGCUGGAUGGCGCGAGAGCAGCCAGCAAACACGGGCUGGGAGGGGCGGGAGCCGCUUGGACCUGUCGGCAGAGCAACGAGUCCGCGUGGUCGUUGUUAAACCAUCCGAUCCCACGUGGCCGAACCGCUGGGACGAGCCAGGGUACACGGAUGAAGGCCGCCGUCUCCCCGCCGAUGGGAGACCCAGCACCUACGAUGGCUCCGCUAUCUGGGGCCAUCCGGCGAGGGCUGGCCAGAUCCACGCUGAAGCCGAAGCUUUCUACCAAACUGACUGGGUGAAGGGAAAUAACUCCCUGUUCCUGGUCGUGAUGGGAGUGGGAGGGAGAAGGAGAAAAAGAAUAUCUCCUGAAAGCAGCCUUUAAAAAAAAUCGAGAGAGCAGCGAGAUAGCUCAGUGCAUUGAGAACCAGGCCUGGAGACAGGCGGUCCUGGGUUCAAAUGUGACCCCAUUCACGACCUAGCUGUUAGACCUUGGGCAAGUCCCUGCCUCAGUUUCCUCAUUUGUAAAAGGGACAAAAUUAUAGUAUCUGCCUUCCAGGAUUGAGGAUAAAAUGAGAUAUUCAUAAAGUGCCUUGCAAACUUUAAAGUACCAUUUACAUGGUAGUUAUUAUUUUUUACUUAUUACUGUGUCUAUGUUAUGGCUCCCCCUCCCCUUGGGAAUGUAAGCCCUUUGAGGGCAGGGACUGCCUCACUUUUUUGUCUUUGUAUUCCAUGUCCUAGGUCUGUGUCUGGCCCUAAAAUACUCACUGAAUGAAUGAAUGAAUGAAUGAAUGAAUGAAUGAAUGAAUGAAUGAAUUCUUUAGCUGUUAUCAUGUUCCCCUGACCAUACUUCAUCACCUUUUAUGGUUGGGAUUUUCAAGAGUGAAGGAAGACAGUUUGGGGGCAACUUAUAUCAUUAAACAUUUAUUAAACACCUACUGUGUGCCAGGCACUGUGCUUAGUGAUGGGGAUACAGAGAAAGGCAGA